Molecule: transfer RNA, 19 nt
Filed under: Anopheles jeyporiensis
Lineage: Eukaryota; Metazoa; Arthropoda; Insecta; Diptera; Culicidae
Description: partial transfer RNA-His
Source: RNAcentral
UUUAAAUAGCUUACAUUUA